UGGGGAAUAUUGCACAAUGGGCGCAAGCCUGAUGCAGCCAUGCCGCGUGUGUGAAGAAGGCCUUCGGGUUGUAAAGCACUUUCAGCGGGGAGGAAGGCGUUAAGGUUAAUAACCUUGGCGAUUGACGUACCCGCAGAAGAAGCACCGGCUAACUCCGUGCCAGCAGCCGCGGUAAUACGGAGGGUGCAAGCGUUAAUCGGAAUUACUGGGCGUAAAGCGCACGCAGGCGGUCUGUCAAGUCGGAUGUGAAAUCCCCGGGCUCAACCUGGGAACUGCAUUCGAAACUGGCAGGCUAGAGUCUUGUAGAGGGGGGUAGAAUUCCAGGUGUAGCGGUGAAAUGCGUAGAGAUCUGGAGGAAUACCGGUGGCGAAGGCGGCCCCCUGGACAAAGACUGACGCUCAGGUGCGAAAGCGUGGGGAGCAAACAGG
Molecule: ribosomal RNA, 428 nt
Filed under: Chloroflexota bacterium
Lineage: Bacteria; Bacillati; Chloroflexota
Description: Chloroflexi bacterium partial 16S ribosomal RNA
Rfam family: Bacterial small subunit ribosomal RNA
Source: RNAcentral